UACGGAGGGGGCCAGCGUUGUUCGGAAUCAUUGGGCGUAAAGGGCGCGAAGGCGGCCGAUCAAGUCGGAGGUGAAAUCCCUCGGCUCAACUGAGGAACUGCCUCCGAUACUGUUCGGCUUGAGUCCUGGAGAGGGUAGUGGAAUUCCCAGUGUAGCGGUGUAAUGCGUAGAGACUGGGAAGAACACCAGUGGCGAAGGCGGCUACCUGGACAGGUACUGACGCUGCAGCGCGAAAGCUAGGGGAGCAAACAGG
This 253-nucleotide ribosomal RNA is filed under the name uncultured Acidobacteriota bacterium. Its description in RNAcentral is "uncultured Acidobacteria bacterium partial 16S ribosomal RNA". It matches the Rfam family "Bacterial small subunit ribosomal RNA", at positions 524 to 776 of the family's 1533-position model. The record is from RNAcentral. Lineage: Bacteria; Pseudomonadati; Acidobacteriota.